AUUAUAUAUAGUUUUGAAGCUCAGUGAGAGGAUUAAUGGAGAGGGAGGAGGAGUUGUUGUUGUUGUUGUGGUGGUGGUGGCGGAGAGGGGUUGGUACGUAGAGGGUGUAUUUAUAGUAAUGUAUUUUGUUUUGUUUUUCUUAUUUAUUUUUUAUGGGUUUUUUUUUUGAAAAAAAAAUAAAUUAAGGAAUGUGUUUGGGAUUGGAGUGAGGGAUACGAAGUAGGGAUCUGCCGGCCGUUGACUGGAGGAAUUAACGCGGAUGGCAGGAAGCGCGGGAGAAAGUGGAGGCGGGCAGUCCUAGGAAUGCAAACGGGAGAAAGCCAGAAAUUAAAAUUUGAGAAAUCAUAAUUUAAAUUGGGUAACUUUUAAAUAUUAUUCAUGUGAUUUUUUUUUCUUUAAUAUCUUAUAGUUUAAAAUGUAUUAAUUUAGUAUUUUGUGGUUUCUUUUUUUUUUUUUUGUCAGACCAUUUGUUAAUUUUUUGUUAAAUCAUUAUAAAAAACUUCAAAUAUUAUUUUCACCUAUAAUUUAUCGAGUAUUCACUUAACUAUCCUUUAGUUUUAACUUUGUCGUUGAUUUAACGAAAGAAAUUUAGUGUAGGGGAUAACAAAAAGUAAAAAAUAAAACCAUAGGAUAUAUACGAAAUUAAUACACUUUAAACCACAUGAUACUAAAAUAAGAAAGGUGCGAAACUAUAAGGCUGAUAUUUGAAGUUUUUUCAUUUAAAUUUGAUAGGAAAAAAAUCAAUAUCAAAUAAUAAGAAAAAGAGUUUGUUGGAUUUGCAGGGCAUCAACAAUGUGCUCAAAGAGAGGAGUAGAGCUAUAGAAUACGAAAGUGAUAUACUUUAAACCACAAGGUACUGAAGUGAGAAAGUUCGAAACCAUAAAGUUGGUAUUUGAAGUUUAAUUUUCCAUUUAAAUUUUAUAGAAAAAAAUUCAAUCUUAGAUAAUAAGAAAAAGAGUUUGUUGGAUUUGCUGGCAUAGACAAUGUG
This 988-nucleotide long non-coding RNA is filed under the name Ananas comosus (pineapple). RNAcentral's name for it is "long non-coding RNA (ACOM_LNC017384)". The record is from RNAcentral. Lineage: Eukaryota; Viridiplantae; Streptophyta; Magnoliopsida; Poales; Bromeliaceae.